AGAGAGAGAGAAAAUAAUCUGAAAAGGCCGCAACAACUUUUAGGCGAUACAGGUGCGGAGGAGGUUGGUCGCUUACUGGCGGAGGGUGCCGGAGGUGAACAUCUCGGUGAUGAAGUUGAUGUUGCGGCGGGAGACGUCGACCCAGGAGGUGUAGAACUUCAUGAUGUUGCGGUGCUUGAGCGUCUUGAGAAGGUGGAUCUCGCAGUAGAGCCGCUCCAGGUCCUCGGGGCUCUGCAGGAAGUCGUGCAGCUUCACCUGGUUCCACGCCACCUCCAUCCCCUGGUACUCGUCGAACGCCCGGUACCUGCAGUCCCCGCACACGCACCUCGGAUCAGGGACUCAGUGGGCAAGCAAGAUUGAAAGCACGCAGCUUUGGCGAGAACAGCGCCGGAUCUUACACAAUCUUGGACGCGCCCUUGCCAAGAACGUCGCUGAACUGCGUUAAACAAGGAGGAAAGAUGCAGGGAAACGGAUCAGCGGAUUGGUGAGCAGACGGGUCAAACAACGGUGGUAGGAGUAGCUACAGUGGUAGCGGCGAUUCCAUACCCGUCCGUACCGGCCGGUGGGGUCGACCUCCGCAUACUCCGGGCACGGGCCGGCGGCGUUGGCCUUGGCGCCUAUCAUUCUUGCGGCUCUAGCUCGCUUCUUCGGUUCUUCCCCUGCACUGCAGCUCCAACUCCACCGCCGAGGAGAG
This 694-nucleotide unclassified non-coding RNA is filed under the name Zea mays. RNAcentral's name for it is "misc RNA Zm00001eb107410". The record is from RNAcentral. Lineage: Eukaryota; Viridiplantae; Streptophyta; Magnoliopsida; Poales; Poaceae.